This 1403-nucleotide long non-coding RNA is filed under the name Equus caballus (horse). RNAcentral's name for it is "lncRNA (ENSECAG00000048110.1)". The record is from RNAcentral. Lineage: Eukaryota; Metazoa; Chordata; Mammalia; Perissodactyla; Equidae.
CAGCUUGGGAAACACUCCUAAGCAAAUGAGAUCUUGUGAAGUAUUGUGGUGUCAACAGAAUCAUUAUUGCAUCAAAAUCUGAGAACACUCAGAUAAAAGUUGCCCUACCUAUGGGCUCCUGGGGACAUUUUCAUGCCUUCAUGGCAGCAAGUAGACUUCAGAAUCUACCUCUGGCCCUGUCCCUUCGUGGCCACAAAGCUGGACACCCUCUCCCGGCCAUGCCUGCCAACCUCACAACUCUGCUUCCAGUCUCAGCUCCACCAAGAAAAGCUUCGGAACCACAGAAACGCGUUCUGGGGAAUGAGUUUGUUUAAAGCCUUCGCUGUUGGUUUUAGUCAAAAUUUUUAAAAUAUCUUAAAAGCACGAUUGAUAUAUAAACUAAAAUAGAACUGCAACUUCAGAGAAAAUAAAAAUAGACUUAUCGUAGACUAGCAAUUAAUACCAUGAUAAAUCUAUUUUCAUAUUUCUUUUCUCUUAUUUCAGAAAGUAAGAAUAAAAUGGCUUUGCUUAAAUAUAAAAACCUAACCAUCUCUUCCCAUCUUAUCUACUUCCUUGUACUAGAUGGUUUCCCCAAACCUAACAAGAGUUCCCUAAAGCUGGUUCUAUCAUUAAAAUUAUAGGAGAUCUUGCAGUUAAGGCUUGGCCCACUCUGAACAAAUAUUCCCAAUCUCCAAUUUCAAACCUAUUUUCCUCUUCCUGAAUUGAUUGCAUAUUGACCUAGAGAAGAUAAAGACAAAGAUACUUAGGAAGGUAACACUGGCAGCCAAUUGGGUAGAAUAGCUGGAAAAGUCCAUUUAAGAGUGAAAUGAUGUAUAAUUAAAGGUAGGUUAUCACCAGUUUUUGAAUUCUUGCUAGAUGUUGAAAUUAGAUGUAUUGAAUAAAAAGCAUGGGGCUUAAAGUCUGAGGAACUUUAAAAAUGCUUUCAAAAUCCCAGCUCUGCUUCUUAGCUGCUCUUGGCAUUGGAGAAGUUACAUAUCCUCUGAGUUUCCGUUUGCUCAUCAGUAAAAUUCAGUCAGUGGCACACAGUAGGAACAACACCGGAGUCAUUGAAUAAGUGGAUAGAGGAACGGUUGAUAUUCAUCGAAUCAAAAAUUGUUUACCAAACCCAGACUUAGCGGAUCCAAGACAAAGAGAAGGGAGUUGACAGAGAAUUAUGUUUUAAUGGAAUAACAAGGCAAAUGGAGAAAGGAGAUUGAUUUUGAAAAAGUUGAAAGAGCUUCAGAACUAUGGAGAGCCUCCUGACUGAUUGAGGUAUUUAAACCUCAAAAUAAUUUCCCAACCUCAUUUUUAGUAAAGGAAGGCAGUUAUAUUUAAAAAAAAAACAAAAAGUAAGAGCGAAAACACGUGCCUCUAUGAGCCCGAAUAAAUCCAGUUUCUACAACACUCAGGAUGACCAGUGGGUC